CCUACGGGAGGCAGCAGUGGGGGAUAUUGGACAAUGGGCGAAAGCCUGAUCCAGCAAUGCCGCGUGAGUGAUGAAGGCCUUAGGGUUGUAAAGCUCUUUUACCAGGGAUGAUAAUGACAGUACCUGGAGAAUAAGCUCCGGCUAACUCCGUGCCAGCAGCCGCGGUAAUACGGAGGGAGCUAGCGUUGUUCGGAAUUACUGGGCGUAAAGCGUACGUAGGCGGUUAUUCAAGUCAGAGGUGAAAGCCUGGAGCUCAACUCCAGAACUGCCUUUGAAACUAGAUAGCUAGAAUCUUGGAGAGGUGAGUGGAAUUCCGAGUGUAGAGGUGAAAUUCGUAGAUAUUCGGAAGAACACCAGUGGCGAAGGCGACUCACUGGACAAGUAUUGACGCUGAGGUACGAAAGCGUGGGGAGCAAACAGGAUUAGAUACCCUGGUAGUCCACGCCGUAAACGAUGAUAACUAGCUGUUCGGGCUCUACGAGCUUGAGUGGCGCAGCUAACGCAUUAAGUUAUCCGCCUGGGGAGUACGGUCGCAAGAUUAAAACUCAAAGGAAUUGACGG
RNAcentral lists this ribosomal RNA (561 nucleotides) under uncultured bacterium. RNAcentral's name for it is "bacterial SSU rRNA". It matches the Rfam family "Bacterial small subunit ribosomal RNA", at positions 338 to 916 of the family's 1533-position model. The record is from RNAcentral.